Molecule: ribosomal RNA, 255 nt
Filed under: Ensifer sp. ENS07
Lineage: Bacteria; Pseudomonadati; Pseudomonadota; Alphaproteobacteria; Hyphomicrobiales; Rhizobiaceae
Description: partial 23S ribosomal RNA
Rfam family: Bacterial large subunit ribosomal RNA
Source: RNAcentral
CAGGGUUAGCCGGCCCCUAAGACGAGGCGGACACGCGUAGUCGAUGGGAACCACGUUAAUAUUCGUGGGCCUGGUGGUAGUGACGGAUCGCUUAACUUGUUCACACUUAUUGGAUUGUGUGGGCGGGAACGCGGUUCCAGGAAAUAGCUCCACCGUAUAGACCGUACCCGAAACCGACACAGGUGGUCAGGUAGAGUAUACCAAGGCGCUUGAGAGAACUAUGCUGAAGGAACUCGGCAAAUUGCACGCGUAACU